This 76-nucleotide transfer RNA is filed under the name Candidatus Ruminococcus equi. RNAcentral describes it as "tRNA-Pro". It matches the Rfam family "tRNA". Rfam says of the family: Transfer RNA (tRNA) molecules are approximately 80 nucleotides in length. Their secondary structure includes four short double-helical elements and three loops (D, anti-codon, and T loops). Lineage: Bacteria; Bacillati; Bacillota; Clostridia; Eubacteriales; Oscillospiraceae. The record is from RNAcentral.
CGGGGUGUAGCGCAGAUGGUAGCGCGCCUGCUUUGGGAGCAGGAUGUCGGGGGUUCAAAUCCCUUCACUCCGACCA